AAUCCAUAGGUUAAUGAGGCGAACCGGGGGAACUGAAACAUCUAAGUACCCCGAGGAAAAGAAAUCAACCGAGAUUCCCCCAGUAGCGGCGAGCGAACGGGGAGGAGCCCAGAGCCUGAAUCAGCAUGUGUGUUAGUGGAAGCGUCUGGAAAGGCGCGCGAUACAGGGUGACAGCCCCGUACACAAAAGCGCAUGUGCUGUGAGCUCGAUGAGUAGGGCGGGACACGUGGUAUCCUGUCUGAAUAUGGGGGGACCAUCCUCCAAGGCUAAAUACUCCUGACUGACCGAUAGUGAACCAGUACCGUGAGGGAAAGGCGAAAAGAACCCCGGCGAGGGGAGUGAAAAAGAACCUGAAACCGUGUACGUACAAGCAGUGGGAGCCCCACCACCAAAGCAUUUGCUGUACCGCGUUGACGG
This 417-nucleotide ribosomal RNA is filed under the name Salmonella enterica subsp. enterica serovar Enteritidis. Its description in RNAcentral is "partial 23S ribosomal RNA". It matches the Rfam family "Bacterial large subunit ribosomal RNA", at positions 161 to 591 of the family's 2925-position model. The record is from RNAcentral. Lineage: Bacteria; Pseudomonadati; Pseudomonadota; Gammaproteobacteria; Enterobacterales; Enterobacteriaceae.